Molecule: ribosomal RNA, 474 nt
Filed under: uncultured bacterium
Lineage: Bacteria
Description: partial 16S ribosomal RNA
Rfam family: Bacterial small subunit ribosomal RNA
Source: RNAcentral
UAGGGAAUAUUGGUUAAUGGGCGAAAGCCUGAACCAGCAACGCCGCGUGCACGAUGACGGCCUUCGGGUUGUAAAGUGCUUUUUGGAGGGAAGAGGAAGGACGGUACCUCCAGAAUAAGUCUCGGCUAACUACGUGCCAGCAGCCGCGGUAACACGUAGGAGACAAGCGUUAUUCGGAUUUACUGGGCGUAAAGCGCGUGCAGGCGUCUGACAAGUUGGAUGUGAAAGCUCCUGGCUUAACUGGGAGAGGUCGUUCAAAACUAUCAGACUAGAGAGUGGUAGAGGAAGGCGGAAUUCCGGGUGUAGUGGUGAAAUGCGUAGAUAUCCGGAGGAACACCAGUGGCGAAAGCGGCCUUCUGGACCAAUUCUGACGCUCAGACGCGAAAGCUAGGGUAGCGAACGGGAUUAGAGACCCCGGUAGUCCUAGCCGUAAACGAUGUAGACUUGGCGUUGGUGGGGUAAAAUCCAUCAGUG